Molecule: ribosomal RNA, 459 nt
Filed under: uncultured bacterium
Lineage: Bacteria
Description: partial 16S ribosomal RNA
Rfam family: Bacterial small subunit ribosomal RNA
Source: RNAcentral
CCUACGGGAGGCAGCAGUGAGGAAUAUUGGUCAAUGGACGGGAGCCUGAACCAGCCAUGCCGCGUGAAGGCGAGUGCCCUACGGGCGUUAAACUUCUUUUGUGCGGGAGCAAUAAGGGCCACGCGUGGCCCGAUGAAAGUACCGCACGAAUAAUCAUCGCUUAACUCAGUGCCCGCAGCCGCGGUAAUACGAGGGAUGCGAGCGUGAUCCGGAUUUAUUGGGUGUAAAGGGUGCGUAGGCGGCGCUUCAGCUCAGCGGUGAAAUACCGGGGCUCAACCCCGGGGCUGCCGUUGAAACCGGAGCGCUAGAAUGCCGAUGCGGUCGGAGGAAUGUGUGGUGUAGCGGUGAAAUGCAUAGAUAUUACACAGAACACCGAUUGCGAAGGCAUCUGACGAAUCGGAGAUUGACGCUGAUGCACGAAAGCGUGGGGAUCGAACAGGAUUAGAUACCCCGGUAGUC